CUCAGUCACAGACACGGUACUUAUUAUGUAGUUUGUGAUCGUCUGUUUCUCUGAAACAUUGCGUUAUUCACCCCUGAUCUGGCUCGUCAUCUGUUUUGAUCAUCCUCCUUUGCUUCACAGCCACCAUCUUCUGUGAAGUCAGACUAACAGUAUGUAUGUAGCUGUCUAAAUAAUGACCUUGUUCAUCCCUGAUAUGGCUGGUCGUCUGUUUUUGCUCAUCCUCCUUUUCGAUACCUUCCAGUACCUCAAAGCCAAAGAUCUUCCUCAGCCCAGUCUGACAGUGAUUCCUGCAGUCAUCAAAGAGAGAGACUCAGUUCAGCUGAACUGUCAGACUCCAUCUGUCUCUGAGUGUUACUUCAAAAUGGAAGGGCAAGUGGAAUUCACCCUACCAUCACCCUGUCAACAUGAACUCACAGGAACACUACUGGUGAGGUGGACAGGUCAGAGUUCACCAGCUGAGGUCAAAAUACAAUGUCAGUACAGUGCUACAGGUUCACAGUUUAGAUCCAUGUUCAGUGAGCCUUCAACAGUCACAAUUCAGGACAUUCCUCAGCUGACAGUGAGUUCUACAGUCAUCAGAGAGACAGAAUCAGUUCAGCUGAGUUGUGAGACUCCUCCAUCUCGCCAUGUGUCUAACUGUUACUUCUACAUAGAGGUGGGGAAGAAUUUUCCAGGGUCAUUGUGUACGCAGACAAUAACAGGAACUGAGCUGCUGAAGAGGGCAGGUCCAACAUUUCCAGCUGUGGUCAAAGUGAAAUGUUACUAUGCUGUAGGGAGGUCUCACACAUCUCCUUUAAGUAACCCUGUCUCAGUCACUGUUCAGGAUCCAAAACCAGACAUUACAGUCCAAUUUGAUGAGGACUUCACCAUCAUCUGUUUGAUUCCUGGAUCGGUCAGUCCUGACAGCACCUGUAACCUGUAUGUUGGAGAGGAGAGUCAGCCAUCCUUCACAGCAAAGACCAAGAAGAGACAAUCCACCUCAGCACCCAGACAGGAGUUCUGUCAAUUCACUCCAAAUCAUAGUGAUCUGAUCAGUGGUCUACAGUCAGUGAGGAGUAAGGAGGUGAGCUGUGAUUACAGAGUGAGCUCUGGACCAAACUCUCUCUCUCCACGCAGUGAUGGGUACAGCUUUACAGAUCUGGUGGGAGUUCACAUCAGUGAUCCAACAACUGUACAGACACCUUCUAUAGCAGUGGGUUUGACUCCAGGUCCUAGAUCUACUUUGCCUCCCAGCAAGACAGUGAGUCCUACAGAAGACACCACAGUGACACCAACUACCAGGUCGACUGUUUGCUGUACUUUUACCACUGACACCCCAGCGAGUCCAACUGAAAGAGUUCAAAGCUCCACAGAAAGUGAUGUGGAAUCAAACAGUCAAGAAAGCAUUCUGGUGGGGCAAUUAUGGCAGGCAGCAGUGGCUUCUGGAGUGGGCGUGCUCCUGGUAGGAUUGACAGCUGUCAGUCUCUGCAGGAGGACCAAGAAAACCAAUUCUCAGAGACCUACAGCCAGACAGGAUGAUCACAGACAAUAUGAAUUGGUGUCUAUGGGAGCGGUGAGCAGAGGAAUCAUGGUGGAUUCAGGAGAUGCUGGAAUCGAUUCUCAGAUCACUUCUGUACUGUUCACGUUCACGCCCUCAGGUAACGUUGAUGUGGAUACACAGGCAUUUGCAAAUAAACAUUCUGACACUUACCAUGUAUACAGCUCAAUCCCCGACAGACCAGCAACCUCAGCCCAGCCGGAUGGGUUGUACAGUCUUCUGCAGACACACUGACACUACACCUCUGGCUUUCUGUAGCUAUGUCUCACACAAAUACAUUCUAUCUCACACGACAUCCAUUGUUUAUCACACAUCCAGUUACUGUAAAUAAGUUGCUUAACAGGUAAUAUAUCUACUGUAUUACACAUAGACAACUGGUUUCUGUUACAUGUCUAUCCAUAAUAUCUGUUACUGUGUUAAUAUAUAUAUAUAUUAUUUUUUAGGGGUCCAGGGGCAUAGUCCCCUUUGAGCAUUUUUCUUAUUUCUUUCCCCUAGUUAAUGCUAAAUCUACUGUAUUUAUGUAUUUUACGUUGACUGUGUGAUACCUCCUUCCAUAGCGGUUGGAUACAAUUAAUUUCCUGUUGGGCAAAACAUAAUCCAAAACACAACCAAAACAAACUGCAAAUGCAUCCAACAAGUUUGUUGAGUCACAAGCUUGAUGUAUUUAUUGGGUGCAAAGAAUCAAGGACCAAAAUACAAAAUGUUUGACUACCUUAAUACACUAUAAAUGAGUUUGUCCAAAUACUUGUGACUUUUUCAAAUGUGGGGACUAUAUAGAUAAAGUGCAUUUAUAUCAAAACGGUAAAACAUACAAUGCCUUCAGAAAGUCUUCACACCCCUUGACGAUUUCCACAUUUUGUUGUGUUACAGCCUGAAUUUAAAAUGUAUGAAAUUGAGAUUUUUUUUUGUAACUGGCCUACACACAAUACCCCAUAUCGGGGUGGCAGGUAAUCCAGUGGUUAGACCGUUGGACUAGUAAUCGAAAGGUUGCAAGAUCGAAUUCCCGAGCUGACAAGGUAAAAAUCUGCCGUUCUGUCCCUGAACAAGGCAGUUAACCCACUGUUCCUAGGCCGUCAUUGAAAAUAAGAAUUUGUUCUUAACUGACUUGCCUAGUUAAAUAAAGGUAAGGUCAAAGUGGAAUUAUGUAAAAAAAAAAAGAGUGUCAUUGAGUAUUUAACCCCUUUGUUUUGGAAAUCCAAAAUAAGUUCAGAAGUAAAAUUCUGCUUAACAAGUCGCAUAAUAUGUUGCAUGGACUCACUCUGUGUGCAAUAAUAGUGUUUAACAUGAUUUUUUAAUGGCCUCAUCUCUGUACCCCACACUUAUAAUUAUCUGUAAAGUCCAUCAGUCACGUAGUGAAUUUCAAACAUAGAUUCAACCAAAAAAACAGGGAGGUUGUCUAAUGCCUCACAAAGAAGGAAACUUAUUGUUUAAAAAAAGCAGACAUUGAAUAUCCCUUUGAGUAAGGUGAAGUUAUUAAUGGAUGGUUUAUCAAUAUACCCAGUCACAACAAAGAUAACGGCAUCAUUCCUAACUUAGUUGCCGAAGAGGAAGAAACCUGCUCAGAGUUUUCACCAUGAGGCCAAUGGUGACCUUAAAGCAGUUACAGAGUUUAAUGACGCUCAGCAGCACCUUCUCCACGCUGCUCUUCGUCGUCCUUCUCGCCUUCCUGUGGAGGAACUGGGAGGUCAUCUCGCAGUACCUGGAUCCCCUCCUGAUGUCCCCGAGUCGACCUACACGGGUGGGGCUCUCUUAAUGAGUGACGAAGGGAGGUGAUGGUGGGGCGGGGCUCCCUGAACAAUGAGGGACAGAGGCAGGGACUGGUGUGUGGGGGGGGGACUAACUAACAAACCCGUACACUGCCUCUGAUGCAUGUGGUGGAGCCAGGCAAGUACAAAGGGUGGGCUUAGCGGAAAGGAGGAGGAUGAUGAGGUGCCAGGAGAUCUGCACACUUACUUCUCUCUCUCUCAGAACUGUGAAAUUGUUUACACGUGGAAGAUGUUUUCUUGAUUUAGAAUUGAUUCAAGUGGUAUUGAAUUUGUUUCUUCUUAUUAUUGCAGUCAUUAAUGCAAAUGCUUGAGGGCUUUCUCUUGUGGCAGGAUUGGGAAGGUAAACAGCUGGCAUGUUGAUGAUCCACAUGGCUAGUGACUUCACCCUUUUUUUGAUCUCCUUUUCUCUACGUCCAAAAUCUCUUUCCUUUUCUCUCUUUAACCCUAAAAUCUCUCCUUUCUCCCUUUUCUUACUCCCAAUAUGGUCUCUUCCGUGUUUGUCUUCCUCUGCCCCUCUUCUCAAUCACCCCAGUCUUUGCCCAUUUCACCAAAUCGCUCUUCUUUCUGGGAGGAUUGAUGUGACUAGCUACAGUGCACUGUUGUGGACAAAAUCUAAUUCAUCACUGGAUCAAGCAAGUGAUGGGUUCUUGACUUGUUUCUAUUGGACGAGCUAAAUGCGACGUUGGGCUUGAUUGGAUCAGGACUGAGUCGGAAUAUGCUCAGCUUGACGCCUUGCACUCUUGGCCUGGCCUGUUGGAUCUGCCCCUGCUGAGACUAUAAACUAAUCUAUAAACUGAAUGAACAUACUUGAAGAGCUGUGAAACUGCUCAGACUUUCAGUGCUUCCGUACUGUUUCUAUUAGUGAAAAUGAAAUGUAAACUUUUUAUUUUUUUAAACAAAUAAACAUGCGGUUUUAAAAAUGAAGGAUUGAGUCAACAAACC
This 4245-nucleotide long non-coding RNA is filed under the name Salmo salar (Atlantic salmon). Its description in RNAcentral is "lncRNA (ENSSSAG00000091538.1)". Lineage: Eukaryota; Metazoa; Chordata; Actinopteri; Salmoniformes; Salmonidae. The record is from RNAcentral.